CCUACGUGAGGCAGCAGUGGGGGAUAUUGCACAAUGGGUGAAACUCUGAUGCAGCGUCGCCGCGUGGGCGAAGAAGUAUUUCGGUAUGUAAAGCCCUAUCAGCAGGGAAGAAGAAAUGACGGUACCUGAGUAAGAAGCACCGGCUAACUACGUGCCAGCAGCCGCGGUAAUACGUAUGGUGCAAGCGUUAUCCGGAAUUACUGGGUGUAAAGGGAGCGCAGGCGGCACGGCAAGCCUGAUGUGAAAGCCCGCGGCCAAACCGCGGGACUGCAUUGUGAACUACCGGGCUGGAGUGCCGGAGAGGUAGGCGGAAUGCCUAGGUGAGCGGUGAAAUGCGUAGAUAUUAGGAGGAACACCAGUGGCGAAGGCGGCCUACUGGACGGUGACUGACGCUGAGGCUCGAAAGCGUGGGGAGCAAACAGGAUUAGAUACCCGUGUAGUC
Molecule: ribosomal RNA, 442 nt
Filed under: uncultured bacterium
Lineage: Bacteria
Description: partial 16S ribosomal RNA
Rfam family: Bacterial small subunit ribosomal RNA
Source: RNAcentral